AGUGAAAGAGGUUGUGUUUUGGUUCUAGGAUGUCCUGUUCCAGUCUGAGCAACUAUCUCCAAUAUAUACCAAGGGUACAAAACAUUAGGAACACCUUCUUAAUAUUGAGUUGCACCACCUGCUGCCCUCAGAACAGCGUCAAUUCGUUGGGGCAUGGACUACAAUGUGUCAAGCGUUCCGCAGGGAUGCUGGCUCAUGUUGACUCCAAUGCUUCCCACAGUUAAGUCAAGUUGGCUGGAUGUCCUUUGGGUGGUGGACCAUUAUUGAUACACACAGGAAACUGUUAAGCAUGAAAAACCCAGCAGCAUUGCAGUUCUUGACACACGCAAACCGGUGUGACUGGCACCUACUACCAUACCCUGUUCAAAGACGCUUACAUAUUUUGUCUUGCACAAUCACCCUCUGAAUGGCACACAUACACAAACCGUGUCUCAAGGCUUGAAAAACCUGUCUCCUCUCUUCCAGCUACACUGAUUUGAAGCAGAUUUUUUUUAGGUGACAGCAAUAAGGGAUCAAAGCUUUCACCUGGAUGCCGUGUCAUAGAAAGAGCAGGUGUUCCUAAUGUUUUGAAUACUUUACAUAUCUAUAUGUAACUAUGCAUAUCUAUAUGUAACUAUGCAUAUCUAUAUGUAACAUUGUGCAGUGCCAGUGUUUCCUUCCGUUGCAACAGCAAGGCACUCCCCAGAUUUGUAACUUAACAGUGCAUUUCUGCAGUGCAUGAAAACACCCAUGUAGUGGACGCUGAUAUCACUGAAUACUUUUGAUCUGUACAGACCUCAUCUCAGAAACCAAGAACUAAAGUCUUUACAAGUUAUGUUACAUGCAUCUUUCCAUGAGCAAUUAGUACAGACCAAAAACUGUAGGGGAAUUUUGAGUAUGUAAGAAGCUACCCAUGAUUAUGAUCAUUCGUAAACGAUAUCGAUUGUGUUCUAAUGUCUUGAUUUCUCAAAUGUUGAUGAGGGUGCAUUAUGAACAGACAAAAUGUUAAAUCUUAACAAAUGAUUCCACCCUGUGCAAUGAAAUGUUUCAAUGUCUUAUAUAUUUUUUUAAAUAUUAAGAAAUCGUCUGAAUUAUACUAUAGGACGUGUAAUGUUGAGUUGCACAGUGCAAAGGAGGUGUGUACUCCAAUUAUUACACAUCUUUGUGUUUGACUGCAGGCAUUUAAACAUGCACCAUCAAUGAACUCAGACCAGUGUUGUGGCACCACUUGUAGCUAAUGCAUGGUUUAAUGUGCUCAUGCACUGCUGCCUAGUAUUAAUUAGGCAUUAGCCUCAAUAGCUGUUUCUAGACUUCACUCACAGAAGAACAUCGUGUGAAUUCACCUCUUGUGCCCUAGGUCUUCGAAAAUUGACUUUUUUUUGCUUGAACAAACAAACUGUCUCAAUGUGGUCUUUGUAAACAUCCACAGUGUUAUCAGAAAUGGUCUAUAAUGUAGUAACCAGCUUUGGUGUCAUGCAGUUCUCAACUCAAGACAUAGAUGAAAAAUAAAUUGGACAAGUUGAAGACUCAAGCCAAGAGGAGAUUUCCCCUGGGACAGUCUGUCUGAUCUGGGCUAGCCGGUCUGAUGGGGCUGCACACUCCACAUUACUCGUUUGACGUUAUCUUGACUCUAGCACACAUGUAUUCAAGGUACCACUCAAUAAAAGCAAUUCAAU
Oncorhynchus tshawytscha (Chinook salmon) is the source of this 1655-nucleotide long non-coding RNA. The record is from Ensembl. Lineage: Eukaryota; Metazoa; Chordata; Actinopteri; Salmoniformes; Salmonidae.